Molecule: ribosomal RNA, 800 nt
Filed under: uncultured Sphingobacteriia bacterium
Lineage: Bacteria; Pseudomonadati; Bacteroidota; Sphingobacteriia
Description: bacterial SSU rRNA
Rfam family: Bacterial small subunit ribosomal RNA
Source: RNAcentral
UAACAGGUGUAGCAAUACAUGCUGACGAGUGGCGCACGGGUGCGUAACGCGUAUGCAACCUACCUAUAACUGGGGAAUAGCCUUCUGAAAGGAAGAUUAACACCGCAUAACAUCACGAAAUGGCAUCAUUUUGUGAUCAAAUCUCCGGAGGUUAUAGAUGGGCAUGCGUGACAUUAGCUAGUUGGUGAGGUAACGGCUCACCAAGGCUACGAUGUCUAGGGGGUCUGAGAGGAUGAUCCCCCACACUGGUACUGAGACACGGACCAGACUCCUACGGGAGGCAGCAGUAAGGAAUAUUGGACAAUGGGCGCAAGCCUGAUCCAGCCAUGCCGCGUGAAGGAUGACGGCCCUCUGGGUUGUAAACUUCUUUUAUAUGGGAAUAAACCCCUCUUUUCUAAGAGGGCUGAAUGUACCAUAAGAAUAAGGAUCGGCUAACUUCGUGCCAGCAGCCGCGGUAAUACGAAGGAUCCAAGCGUUAUCCGGAUUUAUUGGGUUUAAAGGGUGCGUAGGCGGACUAUUAAGUCAGUGGUGAAAGCCUGCAGCUUAACUGCAGAACUGCCAUUGAUACUGAUGGUCUUGAGUACAUUUGAGGUGGGCGGAAUGUGUCAUGUAGUGGUGAAAUACUUAGAUAUGACACAGAACUCCGAUUGCGAAGGCAGCUCACUAAACUGUAACUGACGCUGAGGCACGAAAGCGUGGGGAUCAAACAGGAUUAGAUACCCUGGUAGUCCACGCCCUAAACGAUGAUUACUCGAUGUGUGCGAUACACUGUACGCGUCUGAGCGAAAGCAUUAAGUAAU